CAGCUAGUUGUAUAUUAACUUAACGAUACAAAAUCCAAAUUUAACUAGUAGAAGUUAAAUACAAUUCCAAAACAAAAUUGGGGAAAUAUUUGGAAAAUUGAAACUUCAACCAAAUAUGGCUAAAGAGAGUUAACAAAAUUUGGAGGUUUUGUAAUUAAUAAUUGGUAUCAUGAAAUUGUCGCUUGAUAGUGUAUAUGAAAUAUGUUUGUUUUUGUAAAAAAGUGUUGACAUUUCUGUAAAAUAAAUAAUUUUUUUCUUCUAA
Long non-coding RNA from Stomoxys calcitrans (stable fly), 262 nucleotides. RefSeq lists it as uncharacterized. Lineage: Eukaryota; Metazoa; Arthropoda; Insecta; Diptera; Muscidae. The transcript has 2 exons. The record is from RefSeq and is a predicted model, not a curated record.